RNAcentral lists this ribosomal RNA (495 nucleotides) under Hypolimnas misippus. RNAcentral describes it as "partial 16S ribosomal RNA". Lineage: Eukaryota; Metazoa; Arthropoda; Insecta; Lepidoptera; Nymphalidae. The record is from RNAcentral.
UUUUUGAUAAUAAUUUAAAGUCUAAUCUGCCCACUGAUAUGUAUAUAUUAAAGGGCUGCAGUAUAUUGACUGUACAAAGGUAGCAUAAUCAUUAGUCUUUUAAUUGAAGACUUGUAUGAAAGAUUUGAUGAAAUAUAAACUGUCUCUGAUUUAUUUUUAGAAAUUAAUUUUUUAGUUAAAAAGCUAAAAUAAAAUUAAAAGACGAGAAGACCCUAUAGAGUUUUAUAUUUAGUUUAUUUAAUAUUAAAUAUAUAAUUAAAUUAUAUUAAAAAAAUAAAAUAUUGUGUUGGGGUGAUAGAAAAAUUUAAUAAACUUUUUUUUGUAAUUAUACAUAAAUAAGUGAUUAAUUGAUCCAUUUUUAGUGAUUAUAAGAAAAAAUUACCUUAGGGAUAACAGCGUAAUAUUUUUUUUUAGUACAUAUAAAAAAAAAAGUUUGCGACCUCGAUGUUGGAUUAAGAUAAAAUUUAAAUGCAAAAGUUUAAAAUUUUGAUCUGU